This 223-nucleotide long non-coding RNA is filed under the name Gossypium barbadense (sea-island cotton). RNAcentral describes it as "long non-coding RNA (GBAR_LNC011476)". The record is from RNAcentral. Lineage: Eukaryota; Viridiplantae; Streptophyta; Magnoliopsida; Malvales; Malvaceae.
AAAUCACAUGUGAAGGGUCAGAACGAUAACGUCGCAACAUUGAUACAUGAAACACGUUAUGAAUUCUUUCUAACUCUGCCGGUAAGGCCAACCGAUAUGCCACUGGUCCAAUUCUCUCAGUAAUCUCGUACGGCCCAAUAAAACGCGGACUCAACUUGCCUUUUCAGCUAAAUCUUAGAAUCUUCUUCCAUGGUGACACCUUCAAGAACACUUUAUCACCUAC